ACGAACGCUGGCGGCGUGCCUAAUACAUGCAAGUUGAGCGCUGAAGGUUGGUACUUGUACCAACUGGAUGAGCAGCGAACGGGUGAGUAACGCGUGGGGAAUCUGCCUUUGAGCGGGGGACAACAUUUGGAAACGAAUGCUAAUACCGCAUAAAAACUUUAAACACAAGUUUUAAGUUUGAAAGAUGCAAUUGCAUCACUCAAAGAUGAUCCCGCGUUGUAUUAGCUAGUUGGUGAGGUAAAGGCUCACCAAGGCGAUGAUACAUAGCCGACCUGAGAGGGUGAUCGGCCACAUUGGGACUGAGACACGGCCCAAACUCCUACGGGAGGCAGCAGUAGGGAAUCUUCGGCAAUGGACGAAAGUCUGACCGAGCAACGCCGCGUGAGGGAAGAAGGUUUUCGGAUCGUAGAACUCUGUUGGUAGAGAAGAACGUUGGUGAGAGUGGAAAGCUCAUCAAGUGACGGUAACUACCCAGAAAGGGACGGCUAACUACGUG
This 496-nucleotide ribosomal RNA is filed under the name uncultured bacterium. RNAcentral's name for it is "partial 16S ribosomal RNA". It matches the Rfam family "Bacterial small subunit ribosomal RNA", at positions 29 to 507 of the family's 1533-position model. The record is from RNAcentral.